Molecule: ribosomal RNA, 497 nt
Filed under: uncultured bacterium
Lineage: Bacteria
Description: partial 16S ribosomal RNA
Rfam family: Bacterial small subunit ribosomal RNA
Source: RNAcentral
GAUGAACGCUGGCGGCGUGCCUAAUACAUGCAAGUCGAGCGAACAGAUGAGGAGCUUGCUCCUCUGACGUUAGCGGCGGACGGGUGAGUAACACGUGGAUAACCUACCUAUAAGACUGGGAUAACUUCGGGAAACCGGAGCUAAUACCGGAUAAUAUAUUGAACCGCAUGGUUCAAUAGUGAAAGACGGUUUUGCUGUCACUUAUAGAUGGAUCCCCGCCGCAUUAGCUAGUUGGUAAGGUAACGGCUUACCAAGGCAACGAUGCGUAGCCGACCUGAGAGAGUGAUCGGCCACACUGGAACUGAGACACGGUCCAGACGCCUACGGGAGGCAGCAGUAGGGAAUCUUCCGCAAUGGGCGAAAGCCUGGCGGAGCAACGCCGCGUGAGUGAUGAAGGUCUUCGGAGCGUAAAACUCUGUUAUUAGGGAAGAACAAAUGUGUAAGUAACUAUGCACGUCUUGACGGUACCUAAUCAGAAAGCCACGGCUAACUACGUG